AGACUGUCUUGUACCCCUACUUGGACAAUUUGUCCCAUUUAGUUAUUGAACUUUAACAGACAGACAGAGCAGUGGGAGAGAGAGGUCUAGGUGGUGAAGAGAGAGAGGUCUAGGUGGUGAAGAGAGAGAGGUCUAGGUGGGGUGGUGAAGAGAGAGAGGUCUAGGUGGUGAAGAGAGAGAGGUCUAGGUGGUGAAGAGAGAGAGGUCUAGGUGGUGAGAGGUCUAGGUGGUGAAGAGAGAGAGGUCUAGGUGGUGUGGUGAAGAGAGAGAGGUCUAGGUGGUGAAGAGAGAGAGGUCUAGGUGGUGAAGAGAGAGAGGUCUAGGUGGUGAAGAGAGAGAGGUCUAGGUGGUGAAGAGAGAGAGGUCUAGGUGGUGAAGAGAGAGAGGUCUAGGUGGUGAAGAGAGAGAGGUCUAGGUGGUGUGGUGAAGAGAGCAGUAGGAGAGAGAGGUCUAGGUGGUGUGGUGAAGAGAGCAGUGGGAGAGAGAGGUCUAGGUGGUGAAGAGAGCAGUGGGAGAGAGAGGUCUAGGUGGUGUGGUGAAGAGAGCAGUGGAGUGGUGGAGUUAUCAUGGUGUUUAGCAACCCUGAGGGGAAGGACAGGGCAGGAAGGAAGGCCGUAGAGUAGCAUCUCUCUUUCGAU
Long non-coding RNA from Oncorhynchus tshawytscha (Chinook salmon), 638 nucleotides. Lineage: Eukaryota; Metazoa; Chordata; Actinopteri; Salmoniformes; Salmonidae. The record is from Ensembl.